This 445-nucleotide long non-coding RNA is filed under the name Gallus gallus (chicken). The record is from RNAcentral. Lineage: Eukaryota; Metazoa; Chordata; Aves; Galliformes; Phasianidae.
GAAGGACAUCACCUUUUAUUGUUUGCUACUUCUAUCAGAAUUGAGUUUCAGAUCUGAACAGAAGCUAAGUCCACAUUGAUGGAAAGUGUUAUUCUAAGAUACUUAAAUCAGAUUCUCGGGACUCAUUAAAAAAGCCACUUUUUUUUUUUUUUUUUAAGAGGGAAGGUAGUGAAAACCCUAAAUACAUUUCUAAAGAAGUAAAUUCUGUUAAAAUCAUAUUUGUUUAGAUCUGUGUUCCCUGAGCCAACCUACUACUUAAAGAUAUAUGCGCAGCUAAUCAAUAUACAAAUAGAAAGAAACUGAACUUGCAAAUGAUGAGGCACUCUUUGAGCUUUCCUACUCAAUGCCUAAAACAUCAUGUCAAAUGCAGCAGACAAAUCUUCAAGUCUAAAUAAUUCAUCUGGAAAUGGUAGGAACAAGAGGAGGGGAAAAAGAGAAACAGUUG